This 47-nucleotide transfer RNA is filed under the name Tripodanthus acutifolius. RNAcentral describes it as "partial tRNA-Phe". Lineage: Eukaryota; Viridiplantae; Streptophyta; Magnoliopsida; Santalales; Loranthaceae. The record is from RNAcentral.
UGGGAUAGCUCAGUUGGUAGAGCAGAGGACUGAAAAUCCUCGUGUCA